RNAcentral lists this unclassified non-coding RNA (904 nucleotides) under Hevea brasiliensis (rubber tree). Lineage: Eukaryota; Viridiplantae; Streptophyta; Magnoliopsida; Malpighiales; Euphorbiaceae. The record is from RNAcentral.
CGGAGAACUCUCUUGUUAUGUCAUUGUUCAUCAAUUCUAUGCAAACUCAUAUAGCUCGUGGGCAUUUACUGUUGGAAAGUGCCGCUACCAUUUGGAGUGUUGUUUCUCAGACUGUUUCUCAAGUUGGGAAUGAUGCACAGAUUUAUGAGCUGAGAAACAAGGCUCAUGGUAUAAAACAAGGGGAUAAAUUUCAACAACUACCCCUGAACUUAUAUAGUUGUAACAUUAUAGUCUUUCAACUUUAAAAUGUAACAUAAAUCCCCCUCAACUUUCAAAUUUUGCACAAUAAAAUCCCACUGACUUUCAAUUGCUGAUUUUCUAAUUAGAUGCUGACAUGAACAGAUCUAGCGUGGCGUUUAGUUAAUAUUUUUCUUUUUUUUCUUAAGCAAGAUAUAAAAUUAUUCUCUCUGCGGAUGAAAAAUUAUUUUCUUUGCAGAGAGUAAAAGGAUUCAAUUUACGCAUGGUCUGAGAGAAAAAAGAGAAAUGAUGAUUAAGCGUUACGAUGAAACUGUCCAGGUUAACAUCUAACUGAAAAAUCAGUGAUUGGAGUUGGAGGUUAGAGAGAUUUUACUGAGCAAAAUUUGAAAGUUGAGAGGGGUUUAUGUUAUAUUUUUAAAUUGAAGGAUUGCAAUAUUACAACUAGAUAAGUUCAAGGACAGUUGUCAAAAUUUAUCCGUCAAUGCCAGUUUUCAGAUCAACUCAGAAUCAUGAAGUUAUUUGCAUCAGUCAACACUACAUUUACAAAUUAAUCCACUCAGGGACAUUUGCAACUCACAUUACUUAUUUGAAAAGCAUAAGAUGGAAGUUUGCUAAAAGAACAGACAUCUGAUCUAGAUUUCCUUGGUAUGUAUGAUAAGACCCCCAUCUGCCGCACAUUACACUCAUUUCUUUCUAUCUGAUGGCA